GACGAACGCUGGCGGCGUGCUUAACACAUGCAAGUCGUACGGUAAGGCCCUUUCGGGGGUACACGAGUGGCGAACGGGUGAGUAACACGUGAGUAACCUGCCCACAACUUUGGGAUAACGCUAGGAAACUGGUGCUAAUACUGGAUAUGUGCUCCUGCUGCAUGGUGGGGGUUGGAAAGCUCCGGCGGUUGUGGAUGGACUCGCGUCCUAUCAGCUUGUUGGUGGGGUAGUGGCCUACCAAGGCGGCGACGGGUAGCCGGCCUGAGAGGGUGACCGGCCACAUUGGGACUGAGAUACGGCCCAGACUCCUACGGGAGGCAGCAGUGGGGAAUAUUGCACAAUGGGCGCAAGCCUGAUGCAGCAACGCCGCGUGCGGGAUGACGGCCUUCGGGUUGUAAACCGCUUUCAGCAGGGACGAAGCUUUUUGUGACGGUACCUGCAGAAGAAGCACCGGCUAACUACGUG
This 465-nucleotide ribosomal RNA is filed under the name uncultured bacterium. RNAcentral's name for it is "partial 16S ribosomal RNA". It matches the Rfam family "Bacterial small subunit ribosomal RNA", at positions 28 to 507 of the family's 1533-position model. The record is from RNAcentral.